Molecule: ribosomal RNA, 301 nt
Filed under: uncultured bacterium
Lineage: Bacteria
Description: partial 16S ribosomal RNA
Rfam family: Bacterial small subunit ribosomal RNA
Source: RNAcentral
CAGCAGCCACGGGAAUACGUAGGGUGCAAGCGUUAAUCGGAAUUACUGGGCGUAAAGCGUGCGCAGGCGGUUAUAUAAGACAGAUGUGAAAUCCCCGGGCUCAACCUGGGAACUGCAUUUGUGACUGUAUAGCUAGAGUACGGCAGAGGGGGAUGGAAUUCCGCGUGUAGCAGUGAAAUGCGUAGAUAUGCGGAGGAACACCGAUGGCGAAGGCAAUCCCCUGGGCCUGUACUGACGCUCAUGCACGAAAGCGUGGGGAGCAAACAGGAUUAGAUACCCCCGUAGUCCCUGUCUCUUAUAC